CUCCAGUGGGCGUCUUGGGCCCCGGCUCUAUUCUGGGCUGCGGGCCUGGGAAGGGCUCGCCGGGUGCCAAAUGAGCUGUCCUAACUCUGCGGGGCUGCAGCUUCCUGCAUGAUGCUGGGGAGCUUGGCGCCUGACCCAGGAUCUAGAAGGCACUCUGGGCAGGCCGCGCUCCGCCCACGAAGGUUUAACCACCAAGGACUCUGAGAGCUGGCAGGUCUGAGUAACCCUGGUAACAAUUCUCUUCACCUUAUCAAAACCUGAGCUAAAACCAAUGCAUCAGCUGAUGAUGACAGCAGAGAGUGGCAGGGCUGAGGACCCAAAGUCAUUUCCCAGGCUGGCGGAGAAUAAACUGCCAGGGAGAAGAAUGAGAAGACAGGAGACAAACUGUUUGGAAAGCUAAAUCUUCCCUCUUAAUGAAUAAAGGUUUUUGCCUUGUCUU
Molecule: long non-coding RNA, 439 nt
Filed under: Homo sapiens (human)
Lineage: Eukaryota; Metazoa; Chordata; Mammalia; Primates; Hominidae
Description: non-protein coding TP53TG1:13
Source: RNAcentral